This is a long non-coding RNA of Antechinus flavipes (yellow-footed antechinus), 2410 nucleotides long. RefSeq lists it as uncharacterized. The record is from RefSeq and is a predicted model, not a curated record. NCBI's taxonomy places the organism in Eukaryota, Metazoa, Chordata, Mammalia, Dasyuromorphia, Dasyuridae. The transcript is spliced from 3 exons.
UCUGACUUUGGGUGGAAGCAGCUUUAGGAUUCCUGCUAUCUCUUGGUAUGCCAGGGAGCACAUGGCUCUGUGCUUGUCUCUUGCCCUCAGUUGGAUGCUGAUCUGGAUGAAAGGAUGAUUAGAAUUGCAUAUCCUGAGAACCAGGAGGAUGAGCAUGAAGGAAGGUAUGUGAGCAAGAGUUGCCACAGCAGUUCCAACACAGACGAGGAGCAUGAAGGGAAUCACCAGGUUAUAUCUUCUCUACAUUAAGACAAUUGGAAGCCCACCUGAUUGCAAAGCAGGUUUGUGAUACUCCACUCAUAUUGUUACACAAGCACUUAACUAAUAAACUAUUUCCUCUUCCAAUCAAAGUGGGGGAGAGAUGAAAAGAAUCAUUUUAUAUUUUCCUAUUUCCCAAAAUUCAUAUUAAUUUGAUACUACCCUUCCCCACAAAGGCUCAAAACAUAUAUUUCAUUGCUCAUCACAUAAUCCAAAGGCUUCUUCUCCCUCUUUCUCUCUCUCUCUCUUUCUCUCACUUUGACUGUCAAAGCUGUACCCAAGCAAUAAUCUCAUUAAAAUGUCACAUAUUCACCCAGCCUCUUCUUGAAUGCUUCCAGGGAGAGUUACCUUAUUACCUUCCAAGGUAGCUCAUUCUUUUGAAUAGUUCUGAUUGGUAGAGCAAAUAUUUUUUUUCCCAAUGACCCCAAAUCUGCCUCUCUAAUAUUUCCAGUCCCUUUGGGGUCAGGCAGAACAAAACUAAUAACUUUUCUAUAUGAUAACCCUUCCUUAUCCUCAAAUUCAAGUUGAAGAGACUUAUCCUAUAAUGGUUCCUCCCUUUUAACUACUUAAUAUAAAUCUUUUGCAUUGUCUAGGUCAGUUUCCUUUCUUACCAUCUUUUCUUCUUUUCUAUUCUUCAAGACCUAGCUUAAGCUUCAGCUUCUCAUGGAAGCCUUUACUGACCACUCUUACCCAUCGUGAUUUCUUCUUCCUCUAAAGUCUGUACUCACACUUUAAGUCUCCCUAGGUUAAUAAAGAAUAGGCCAUUGAAAUAUGAGCCCAGACAGGUUCUGCUGUGUUAGAAAUAUUUUAAGAAGUAUCUUAUCAAUAGAUGGUCAGAUUAUCUUAGUGUGAUCAGAGUAUAGAUUUGGAGUUGGAAGAAACCUUAGGGAUUCUGAAUUUCAACCUCCUUUUACAGAUGAGGAAACUGAGGCAUAGAGAUUAAGUAAGUUCAUAUAACUAGGAAGUAUGGGAUUUGAACCCAGGGCUCCCUAAAAAGUCUAGCUCUCUGUUUAGCAUGUACAGAGAGGUUCUCCACAAGAAACUUGGCCCAUUUGGCUGUGAAUUCUGUGUCCAUGAAAAUUUGUGAAUGGUGGCAGUGGCAGAACAGAAAAGGGUUAUUACAUGGCACAGAAGAUAGAAGGCUGGGCUUGAAAUCAGGAAGAUGGCUACUAGUGUGACCCUCAUCAAGUUAUUCAAUUGCUUUCAGUCUCAGUUUCCACAUCUGUAAAAUGGGAAUGAUAGAACUUGCUUACUCCAGUGGCACAAUCUUUGUUAAUAUAAGUAAAACACUCUAUAAACUAUAAAGUACUAUACACAUUCAAGCUAUCAUCAUCACUAUCAUUGGGGGGUGAAGGGGUGGGGUGGUUUAGAGUGCUGAGAAUCAUACAAUUGUUUUAUCAUCUCUAAAUAUUAGCUUAUCUAUUGAUGUUCUACAAGUGAGAUUCUUGUCCAUUGACUAAAGAACAAAUGAACUAAUAGAAGAACCGAAGCAUAUCAAUUUGCCAUCUUCAGUAUGAUUAAACCAGAAGACAGGAAGUCACAGCUACAAAGAGAGACAGCUUACUGGGUCUUCUUAGAGACACAAAUAAAGGAAUUGGUGGAGCUAGUUUUAUGGUUCAUCAAAGGCAAGAAAAAAAUUGUUUCCAAGAACAUGCCAUCUUAUAUUGCAGUGGCCUUGUGAAAUGUUUGUAAAAAUGCCACUAUAGAGAUAAUGGUAGUUUCUGUGCCAGCAUUUAUUGCAAAGGAUGAUGCUUUGAUGUAGAGAAGUUCUAAGAAGAAUUCAAUAAGACUCUUCCAAUUAAAUCAAUUUCUAUUUUAAUAUGCUUAGAGACUUCAGUGGGAGGGCAGGCAUAGGGAAGAAAAGCAGAACAUGUUGAAAAACAUUAUUCCAAUAAAGGGAGAAACAAGAGUUGCUAAAGAAUUAUCAGAACUCUCUCUCCGCGUCUCUCUUUGUCUCUCUCUUUAUUCCCUCUCUCUACUUCUCUUUCCCCCAUGCACUCCUCCCUUCCUCUCUUUCUCUUUCUCCCUCCCUCCUUCUCUCUAUCUCUUUCUUCCUUACUCCCUUUCUCUCCCUCUCUCCCAUCUUCUCCCAUCUCUCCCUUCCUUCCUCACUCCAUUCUCUCCCUCCCUCCCUUCUCCCCUCCUUUUCCUC